GCGGGGGUACCCAAGCGGUCAAAGGGGCAGGACUUAAGAUCCUGUGGCUUAGUGCCUUCCUGGGUUCGAAUCCCAGCCCCCGCA
This 84-nucleotide transfer RNA is filed under the name Candidatus Nanoarchaeia archaeon. RNAcentral's name for it is "tRNA-Leu". It matches the Rfam family "tRNA". Rfam says of the family: Transfer RNA (tRNA) molecules are approximately 80 nucleotides in length. Their secondary structure includes four short double-helical elements and three loops (D, anti-codon, and T loops). Lineage: Archaea; Nanobdellati; Nanobdellota; Candidatus Nanoarchaeia. RNAcentral also lists the same sequence under 1 other name. The record is from RNAcentral.